AAUACCGCAUACGUCCUACGGGAGAAAGCAGGGGAUCUUCGGACCUUGCGCUAAUAGAUGAGCCUAAGUCGGAUUAGCUAGUUGGUGGGGUAAAGGCCUACCAAGGCGACGAUCUGUAGCGGGUCUGAGAGGAUGAUCCGCCACACUGGGACUGAGACACGGCCCAGACUCCUACGGGAGGCAGCAGUGGGGAAUAUUGGACAAUGGGGGGAACCCUGAUCCAGCCAUGCCGCGUGUGUGAAGAAGGCCUUAUGGUUGUAAAGCACUUUAAGCGAGGAGGAGGCUACUCUAGUUAAUACCUAGGGAUAGUGGACGUUACUCGCAGAAUAAGCACCGGCUAACUCUGUGCCAGCAGCCGCGGUAAUACAGAGGGUGCGAGCGUUAAUCGGAUUUACUGGGCGUAAAGCGUGCGUAGGCGGCUUAUUAAGUCGGAUGUGAAAUCCCCGAGCUUAACUUGGGAAUUGCAUUCGAUACUGGUGAGCUAGAGUAUGGGAGAGGAUGGUAGAAUUCCAGGUGUAGCGGUGAAAUGCGUAGAGAUCUGGAGGAAUACCGAUGGCGAAGGCAGCCAUCUGGCCUAAUACUGACGCUGAGGUACGAAAGCAUGGGGAGCAAACAGGAUUAGAUACCCUGGUAGUCCAUGCCGUAAACGAUGUCUACUAGCCGUUG
RNAcentral lists this ribosomal RNA (666 nucleotides) under Acinetobacter baumannii. RNAcentral's name for it is "bacterial SSU rRNA". It matches the Rfam family "Bacterial small subunit ribosomal RNA", at positions 165 to 825 of the family's 1533-position model. Lineage: Bacteria; Pseudomonadati; Pseudomonadota; Gammaproteobacteria; Moraxellales; Moraxellaceae. The record is from RNAcentral.